RNAcentral lists this transfer RNA (75 nucleotides) under Candidatus Cardinium hertigii. RNAcentral's name for it is "tRNA-Val". It matches the Rfam family "tRNA". From Rfam's summary of the family: Transfer RNA (tRNA) molecules are approximately 80 nucleotides in length. Their secondary structure includes four short double-helical elements and three loops (D, anti-codon, and T loops). Further hydrogen bonds mediate the characteristic L-shaped molecular structure. tRNAs have two regions of fundamental functional importance: the anti-codon, which is responsible for specific mRNA codon recognition, and the 3' end, to which the tRNAs corresponding amino acid is attached (by aminoacyl-tRNA synthetases). tRNAs cope with the degeneracy of the genetic code in two manners: having more than one tRNA (with a specific anti-codon) for a particular amino acid; and 'wobble' base-pairing, i.e. permitting non-standard base-pairing at the 3rd anti-codon position. The record is from RNAcentral. Lineage: Bacteria; Pseudomonadati; Bacteroidota; Cytophagia; Cytophagales; Amoebophilaceae.
GGGUCUUUAGCUCAGCUGGUCAGAGCAUCUGUCUUACACACAGAGGGUCGCAGGUUCGAAUCCUGCAGGGCCUAC